This is a long non-coding RNA of Pistacia vera, 857 nucleotides long. RefSeq lists it as uncharacterized. The record is from RefSeq and is a predicted model, not a curated record. The transcript has 6 exons. NCBI's taxonomy places the organism in Eukaryota, Viridiplantae, Streptophyta, Magnoliopsida, Sapindales, Anacardiaceae.
CAGUAAAACCCACAUCCCAAAUCAAUUUCAGUUUAUUCUAAAUCAGAAACCCUAAAAUUCUUCCACAAUUUCCUUUCAAUUUUUGAAACCCUAGCCACCACAAUCUCCAACCUCAGCCUUUCCCCACGGCGACCACCACAGCCGCACCAGUUUGCUACCAUCUAACUCUAUUAUCUGGCCGUUAAGAGUCACUGGUAGGUUACUGUAACCAUAACUCAUCUCUCCUGCGCGAUCCCAGUGGCAUCUCUCGGCUUAUCCAAAUUUCCUUCAUUUUCACAGAGGAAGUAGCGGAUUUGAGAUUUGGUUUCAGUUGAGGAGCACUAAUUUUAGCUGUCAUUUUGGGAGUAUUUAUUUUGAUCCCAUGAGACCGUGAAUCUGAUAAUUCGAAAACGGAUCACUCAAUUGUUAACUCUAAAAAUAAUUGACACUAAAUAUAAGGCAUCCAAAAUAUAGUAAGACUAAAGUCUUUGCAUAAUAAGGGAACUGAUUGCUGGAUAACCACUAAGAACAAGUUCUGAGUGUUGAAUCUGAUCAGAAGAGAACAAACUAAAGAACUUAGUCAUGGCACCAUUGCAGCAACAAGAUAUUCAGCAUGCGAAACCGUUGGAGGUCGUUGUCGGUACUUGGUAGGACGAUGCAAGCAAGAGCAAUUGCAAUUUGGAAAAAAAGAGGCAGAAAAAAUAAACUGAUAAAAAACAGCCAGUUCACUUCACACUCUUCAUGUUGUAAUGUCGCUUGUGUACAAGUUUUCAUAACCCAACUCAUUCAAAAACAUAGUUAAGACACAUGUUCUGUAUAAUUUAAUUAUAUAUAUUUUCUUUAUAUGCAACAUUCUCCUUUUAAUGGAAAUGCCCUGU